AGAGAGAGAGAGAGAGAGAGAGGACAUCUUACGAAAUGUGAGGAAAGUAAAAGCGUAAGAGAAGGAUAGAAAAUAAAAGGAAAAAAUAAAACAAAAAAAAAAAGAAAAGAAAAAUAAAAAAUAAAAACAAUAAUCGAUCGCAAUAAUCGUGUCCGUUUAUUUUAUUAUACGCGAUAAUUAAAAUUCAUUCGUCAUAUUCGAAUACGCAUAAUCGACGAACUAUGUCAAUAUCCUUUGUACGGGCUUAAAAUUUGAAAAAUAUUAUGUUACUUAGAAUCCAACAAUUGUAAAAUUAAGUUCGCUUUUAAAUAAUAAAAAAAUUCUCAUUAAAUCUUAAUUCCAUUAUGGCUCAUUAAAUAUUAAAUAUUAUUCUCAUUAUAUAUUAAGAAAGAUAAUAAGAUUGGCGAUAGUACGAUAAAAAUUAUCUGUUAAAUUUUAUCUCUGGAGAUAAAUGAUAACAACGUUGAAAUUUUGCACGUUCAUUAUUUCUUUAGUAUCGUUUGAAUUAUCAAAGACAUUCGACACAGAGAAAAUGUUACGGCAAUUUCUUUUCCUUACGUUAUUUUGCAUCUUUUGCAUUGCCAGCAAUGCACAGAAACUUCAAGAGAGUAAGACGGAAAGUAAUAUUGGCCAUAAAACAGUUUUCGAGCACUCGACGAUCGUUACACUUGCCAUGAUUAGCACCUUGGGUGUGGUCCUGAUAAUACUCAUACCUACGAUAUUGUAUUAUAAAUAUUGUGCGAGAAAAAGCAACAAAGAGAUGCAUUCCAAUGGAAUUCAUUGAAUUUAGAAUGAUCCAAGUUACGAACUAGUCCGUUCCUUUCGAAGGGAUAAUUAUACUUUUUCUUAUUCCGUGAACAGAAAAAAAAAGGAAAAAAAAAAAAAGAAAGAAAAAAAGAAAAAAAAGAAACAAGAAAAAGAAAGGAAAGAAAAGAAACGAAACGGAAGAAAAUGAAAGAUCAGCGUUAACGCACAAGUGAUGAGUGGGUGGUGUGUGGUGGUAGGGGAGACUACGACGAUGGAGGGGUUGGUGUUUUAGCGACGACGCGGACUCGUAAGCUCGAUAAAUCGACGAGAAUUAAUCGUAUCGCGUCGACGCGAACAAAUACGAAUUCGAUAAUUAAUCCAUUGAUCGGUUUUAUGACUCCCCGUUGAACGACACUUCUCUACCGUACGAACCGAUCGUUCGUUUUCUCUCUACUCUAUCCCCACCCCUCAUCAGCACCACCCCCUUCCCUCCUGAACCCCCCCCCACCUCCCUGCCCACCCCUCACCUCUUGUUUUAACUUCGGUCAUUUGGCAACGAACCCUGAUAAUGGUUAAGCGAGCGAACCGUACCGAACGAUUUCAUUGAACGAUCCCGAUUAUUUUGGAUGAAAUGCUGUAUAACGUAGCGAAUAACAAUAAGCCGAAACGUGCGACCCUAGUUCAAUCGAAUUCGCAAAACGACAAACUCUCUAUUGUUACGUUUACCUUAAUUUAGAUAUCCUUUUAAUUACUAACUAUUAUUUUGGUAUUGGUCAAAUUUCCAUUGGAAUUAUAUAAAAUAUAAACUUAAAGUAGAAUUUUUAUUUAUUAUAUUAGGUGGACCGAAAAGUAAUGUCGCUUCCUUAAAUCUAAUUCAAACGAAUAAAUUUUUAACAAGUUAUUAUUUUUAAUCACAAUCAAAUAUUGACAUGCCCAGAAACGAUAUUACCUUCCGGUCGACCCAAUAUUAUUCAUUGGUCAAAUUUGUUAUUAAAACGAUAGAAAAUAUAAGAUAAUGUUAAAAUUGUUAUUAUAGUUUGAUCGAUAUGUGAAUGUAAUAAAUGUAUAAUAUUUUAUAUCGAUAUAAAUAAUCUCGACGUUGAUUCAAUGAUAACUUUUAAUACUAUUAUUUUAUUUUAACAGUCAUCAAAUUUCUAUUGGAAUUUUUAUUGAAUAUCUAGGAUAAAGUAAAAUUUCUAUGUUAUAAUAUUUAUUGAUCGAAUUGUUAUUAGAACGAUAGAAAAUAUAGGAUAAUGUUAAAAUUGUUAUUAGAGUUUUGAUCGAUAUGUGAAUGUAAUAAAUGUACAAUAUUUUAUAUCUCGAAAUAAAUAUCUCGACGUUGAUUUAGAAAUAACUUCUAAUACUAUUAUUUUAAUUUAACAGUCAUCUAAUUCCUAUUGGAAUGAUAGAAGAUAUAGGACAAUGUUAAAUUUAUUAUUAGGUUUACCGAUAUUCGAAUAUAAUAAAUAUUUAAUAUUUUAUAUUUAAAUGAAUACGUCGACAUUAAUUUAGGGAUCCUUCUAAUAUUAUUAUUAUCUCAAUUCUGAUCAAAUUCUCAUUGGAAUUAUAGAAAAUAUAGGGCAAUGUUAAAUUUCUUAUUAGGUUAAUCGAUAUUCGAAUGUAAUAAAUCUUUGAUAUUUUAUAUCUAAAUAAAUACGUCGAGCUUAAUUUAGAGAUAUUUCUAAUUACGACUAUUAUUUUAGUAUUGGUCAAAUUUCUAUUGGUAUGAUACGAAUUAUAGGGGUGAAAUACUAUUUGCUUUUUAGAGUAUUUAUUGGUCAAAUUCCCAUUUGCAUGAUACAAAAUAUAGAGCAAUGUUAAUGUUCUUAUUAGGUUGAUCGAUAUCUAAAUGGAAUAAAACGUUCGAUAAUUUAUAUCGAAAUAAAUAUGUCGACGUUAAUUUAAGUACGUUUUCUAAUACAAUUAUUAUUUCGACGAUUAUCAUAAUACCAUUGUAAUGAUAGUAAGCAUAGGGCAAUCUUAAAUUUCUUAUUAAAUUGAUUCAAUAUUUUAUUUCUAAAUAAAUAUAUAUCAACAUUUAUUUAAAGAUCCUUUUGAAAUCGUUCGAAUU
This is a long non-coding RNA of Vespa velutina, 2818 nucleotides long. RefSeq lists it as uncharacterized. The record is from RefSeq and is a predicted model, not a curated record. The transcript is spliced from 3 exons. NCBI's taxonomy places the organism in Eukaryota, Metazoa, Arthropoda, Insecta, Hymenoptera, Vespidae.